GCUCCGUUGGUGAACCAGCGGAGGGAUCAUUACUGGAAUCGCAAGAUCCCACAACCCUGUGAACCUACCGAAACGUUGCCUCGGCGGGUGCCCGGCCUCUGCGCCGGGCGCUGCGCCCGCCGGCGGCCCCCUACUCUGUCUCUGCAGCGUGGCAUCUCAGAGUCCCAGAAAACAAGUCAAAACUUUCAACAACGGAUCUCUUGGCUCUC
RNAcentral lists this unclassified non-coding RNA (209 nucleotides) under plant metagenome. RNAcentral describes it as "partial contains small subunit ribosomal RNA, internal transcribed spacer 1, and 5.8S ribosomal RNA". The record is from RNAcentral.